Molecule: long non-coding RNA, 1425 nt
Filed under: Hordeum vulgare
Lineage: Eukaryota; Viridiplantae; Streptophyta; Magnoliopsida; Poales; Poaceae
Description: long non-coding RNA (HVUL_LNC007614)
Source: RNAcentral
GUGACAAUGCGGCUUAAUAAAUCAAACAUAUGAUUAAGUGAUACACGGUAUACAUAGGUUAGGAAUAUGAUAUUCUUCAUUCAUGGUUUCUACAAGCUUAAUUGCUUCCCCUCUUGAAUAGUAUAGCAAGCCAUGAUCUAAUAGAUGCUUUUCACUCGUACUGUUUUAUGAGAUUUUGCUAUCUUUUAUACAUGAUCAAAUAAAUAGAGCAUAUACAUAUCAUCUUUGAAUGUCGUUGCAUGUAUAUGCAUGUAUAUUAGUAAUCCUCUCUUCGCUCAGUCCCCUACAUGUAAUCAUAUGAUCCUCAUGAUCUUCAAAUACCUGAGCACAUCAUCCAUGCAUCAUAAAAAAAAGUAGUAAAUUAGAUAUAAAAAUUCAUCCUAAUACACAAACUUGUGGUUUCAGUACGUAUUUUUAUGAAAAAAUUGAACUGCGCAGGAAGGCAAUGAUAUUCCAUAAUGUAUUACCAUACUAAAUUGCUUAUGAUGGAUUAAUACUCCAUGGGAUAUAGAUAGAAAGAUUUAAAUGAAAGGACAAAAAGGAGCAUAAAGCCUUUUCAUUAGCAUUGAUACAAACAGUUGUUGGGCAGCCUCCUUGAACUGGAAAUGGACAAAGAAAGGACGAACCUUCAACUUGAGAAUAAAUUCACAAGGAGGAGCAUAGAUAUCCCCACACCGCAAGAGAGAUUGCAUGGCAUCCAUUCAGUAUCCACCAACAGUAAUAAGAUCAUAUUACUGUUCUGAACUGCUAGAAGAUAUAGCUGAAGGAAAAUUGCAGGAACGCUCAUGUGCUGUGGUCGAUACCUGAUGUGUGCGUAGCUGCAGGCAGUUCAUGUUCGAGCUGUUGCCGCAGAUCUUUGCUUUCGCCACAUUAGGAAGGGAGACAGGGGCGGCUAGACGUGGGCUGACGGCCGAGCGGCGGGCGGAGACCCGCGCAUGAGAGUCUAGCGGCUUGAGGUGGCCGCCAUGGCGGGCGUGGGGCGGAGGCGGCGGCGGCCGAGGGGUGGAGGGCUGGAGGCGACGACGAGCGAGGAGGAGCGGUGGCGGCAUCGAAAACAUCCGCGAGGCGAGCGGCAGCCGAGGGUCACGUGGUUUGGAGAAGUUGUUUUCUAGUCUGCGUGAGGGAGUUGUUUUUCUCGUCAACGAAGCGCCUCGACGUGAUUAGUGGGAAUCGAUUAGUGGCGAUUAACUUUCGUUUUCAUUGGUGCUCAAAAUUUAAACCAUUAGAUCGUGAUUAGACGGUUAAUAUGUUGAGUUGGAUCUGCCUUCUCGUACAUUUUUAAUGAUAGUAGAUACAAGCAUAGUUUGUACGCGACACCGUUUGGGAUGUUCGAGUAAAACAAAAAACUAUCAUUUAAUAUGCUUUUAGUGAUAGUAUAAGUAUAUAUGUCCAAAGUUGUAUUUUAUUUCCAUGCUCAAAUGCUCC